GAUGAACGCUGGCGGCGUGCUUAACACAUGCAAGUCGAACGAUGAAGCCCAGCUUGCUGGGUGGAUUAGUGGCGAACGGGUGAGUAACACGUGAGUAACCUGCCCUUAACUCUGGGAUAAGCCUGGGAAACUGGGUCUAAUACCGGAUAGGAGCGUCCACCGCAUGGUGGGUGUUGGAAAGAUUUAUCGGUUUUGGAUGGACUCGCGGCCUAUCAGCUUGUUGGUGAGGUAAUGGCUCACCAAGGCGACGACGGGUAGCCGGCCUGAGAGGGUGACCGGCCACACUGGGACUGAGACACGGCCCAGACUCCUACGGGAGGCAGCAGUGGGGAAUAUUGCACAAUGGGCGCAAGCCUGAUGCAGCGACGCCGCGUGAGGGAUGACGGCCUUCGGGUUGUAAACCUCUUUCAGUAGGGAAGAAGCGAAAGUGACGGUACCUGCAGAAGAAGCACCGGCUAACUGCGUG
RNAcentral lists this ribosomal RNA (466 nucleotides) under uncultured bacterium. RNAcentral's name for it is "partial 16S ribosomal RNA". It matches the Rfam family "Bacterial small subunit ribosomal RNA", at positions 28 to 507 of the family's 1533-position model. The record is from RNAcentral.